GAUGAAGAACGUAGCGAAAUGCGAUAAGUAAUGUGAAUUGCAGAAUUCAGUGAAUCAUCGAAUCUUUGAACGCACAUUGCGCCCGCCAGUAUUCUGGCGAGCAUGCCUGUUCGAGCGUCAUUUCAACCAUCAAGCCCCAGGCUUGUGUUGGAGCCCUGCGGCUGCCGCAGCCUCCCAAAACCAGUGGCGGGCUCGCUAUCACACCGAGUGCAGUAGUUUACUCUUCGCUCAGGGCGUGUGGCGGGUGCUAGCCGUGAAACCCCCAACUUCUCAAGGUUGACCUCGGAUCAGGUAGGAAUACCCGCUGAACUUAAACAUAUCAAUAAGCGGAGGA
Molecule: unclassified non-coding RNA, 334 nt
Filed under: soil metagenome
Description: partial contains 5.8S ribosomal RNA, internal transcribed spacer 2, and large subunit ribosomal RNA
Rfam family: 5.8S ribosomal RNA (bases 1-120)
Source: RNAcentral